UAUUCUGCCCCAUGGGGAAGGAUGAGAAGCUUCGACUAAGGUUCGACUCGAGCGAAGCGAGAGAACGUUGCCGCAGGC
RNAcentral lists this small RNA (78 nucleotides) under Klebsiella pneumoniae. RNAcentral's name for it is "partial RtT sRNA". It matches the Rfam family "RtT RNA", at positions 1 to 77 of the family's 130-position model. Rfam says of the family: This family represents a bacterial cis-regulatory element known as RtT RNA. Lineage: Bacteria; Pseudomonadati; Pseudomonadota; Gammaproteobacteria; Enterobacterales; Enterobacteriaceae. RNAcentral also lists the same sequence under 1 other name. The record is from RNAcentral.